AGAUCCUACGGGGCGCAGCAGUGAGGAAUAUUGGUCAAUGGGCGGAAGCCUGAACCAGCCAAGUCGCGUGAGGGAAGAAGGCCCUGCGGGUCGCAGACCUCUUUGGACGGGGAGCAAGGCCGCCGACGUGUCGGCGGAAGGAGAGUACCCGUAGAACAAGCAUCGGCUAACUCCGUGCCAGCAGCCGCGGUAAUACGUAGGUGGCGAGCGUUAUCCGGAAUGAUUGGGCGUAAAGGGUGCGCAGGCGGCGCGUCA
This 255-nucleotide ribosomal RNA is filed under the name uncultured bacterium. RNAcentral describes it as "partial 16S ribosomal RNA". It matches the Rfam family "Bacterial small subunit ribosomal RNA", at positions 334 to 585 of the family's 1533-position model. The record is from RNAcentral.